Molecule: long non-coding RNA, 304 nt
Filed under: Homo sapiens (human)
Lineage: Eukaryota; Metazoa; Chordata; Mammalia; Primates; Hominidae
Description: non-protein coding lnc-SOX17-4:8
Source: RNAcentral
CUUUCUCCCCGACUCCCUGGCCAUGGGAUUCAGGAAAACAGGCAGUGAAAGGCUUCAACAGUUCCUUUCCAGUUUUCCACGGGGGCCCCAAGGAACGCCUGCGGCUGGAAUUCCCCGGGAGACAGGGAGCUGUAACAAUAGAGGUUCAUAUUCUAAAGAGAGCAGGCACUGAGCAAAUGUUUGUUGAACUGAACCAAUCUGCUAGUUAUGGGGACAUGACCUCCACUUCAUGGUGUUGAACUAAACAAACACAUACUUCUCCAGACAAAUAUUAAAACUGGUGAACUUCAAAAUAACGUGAAAA